CAGCACCUCAAGUGGUCAGGAUGAUUAUUGGGCCUAAAGCAUCCGUAGCCGGCGCUGUAAGUUUUCGGUUAAAUCUGUACGCUCAACGUACAGGCUGCCGGGAAUACUGCAGCGCUAGGGAGUGGGAGAGGUAGACGGUACUCGGUAGGAAGGGGUAAAAUCCUUUGAUCUAUUGAUGACCACCUGUGGCGAAGGCGGUCUACCAGAACGCGUCCGACGGUGAGGGAUGAAAGCUGGGGGAGCAAAACGGAUUAGAUACCCGAGUAGUCC
Molecule: ribosomal RNA, 270 nt
Filed under: uncultured archaeon
Lineage: Archaea
Description: partial 16S ribosomal RNA
Rfam family: Archaeal small subunit ribosomal RNA
Source: RNAcentral